RNAcentral lists this long non-coding RNA (423 nucleotides) under Homo sapiens (human). Its description in RNAcentral is "HSALNT0291380". Lineage: Eukaryota; Metazoa; Chordata; Mammalia; Primates; Hominidae. The record is from RNAcentral.
UCUCACUAUGUUUCCCAGGCUGGUCUCAAGCUCUCGGGCUCAAGCCAUUCUCCCACCUUAGGCUCCCAUGUAGCUGGCACUACAGAAAUGAGACCCUUGUCAUUCUUAGAGUCCUUUGUUGAAUGGAAGAAGAAAUGGAAUAAUGCCGUAUCCACCUGAUGGGGACAUCACCUCCUACCUGGAUGGUCAGAGGACUCCUAUCCAUCCCACUGUUCCUUCUGGUUUGGGGCCCAGAGUCUUCCACCAAAGCCUGAACAUGCUUCUACUCCCAGGGCCUCCACAUUCCACGGAUGGCUGAUGGAGAAGAAUCCCAGGUCAUCUGUGGACACCUCUCCUUCUGUAUCCCCAGAACAUGAUGUGCACAGGUGCAUAAAGGAAAUUUAAAUUUUGAUGGUGUCGAAGCUCUCCUGCAGUCGGGCCUGC